RNAcentral lists this ribosomal RNA (497 nucleotides) under uncultured bacterium. RNAcentral describes it as "partial 16S ribosomal RNA". It matches the Rfam family "Bacterial small subunit ribosomal RNA", at positions 28 to 507 of the family's 1533-position model. The record is from RNAcentral.
GACGAACGCUGGCGGCGUGCCUAAUACAUGCCAGUUGAGCGCUGAAGGUUGGUACUUGUACCAACUGGAUGAGCAGCGAACGGGUGAGUAACGCGUGGGGAAUCUGCCUUUGAGCGGGGGACAACAUUUGGAAACGAAUGCUAAUACCGCAUAAAAACUUUAAACACAAGUUUUAAGUUUGAAAGAUGCAAUUGCAUCACUCAAAGAUGAUCCCGCGUUGUAUUAGCUAGUUGGUGAGGUAAAGGCUCACCAAGGCGAUGAUACAUAGCCGACCUGAGAGGGUGAUCGGCCACAUUGGGACUGAGACACGGCCCAAACUCCUACGGGAGGCAGCAGUAGGGAAUCUUCGGCAAUGGACGAAAGUCUGACCGAGCAACGCCGCGUGAGUGAAGAAGGUUGUCGGAUCGUAAAACUCUGUUGGUAGAGAAGAACGUUGGUGAGAGUGGAAAGCUCAUCAAGUGACGGUAACUACCCAGAAAGGGACGGCUAACUACGUG